This 91-nucleotide transfer RNA is filed under the name Xylariaceae sp. FL0016. RNAcentral's name for it is "tRNA-Phe". It matches the Rfam family "tRNA". Rfam says of the family: Transfer RNA (tRNA) molecules are approximately 80 nucleotides in length. Their secondary structure includes four short double-helical elements and three loops (D, anti-codon, and T loops). Further hydrogen bonds mediate the characteristic L-shaped molecular structure. tRNAs have two regions of fundamental functional importance: the anti-codon, which is responsible for specific mRNA codon recognition, and the 3' end, to which the tRNAs corresponding amino acid is attached (by aminoacyl-tRNA synthetases). tRNAs cope with the degeneracy of the genetic code in two manners: having more than one tRNA (with a specific anti-codon) for a particular amino acid; and 'wobble' base-pairing, i.e. permitting non-standard base-pairing at the 3rd anti-codon position. The record is from RNAcentral. Lineage: Eukaryota; Fungi; Ascomycota; Sordariomycetes; Xylariales; Xylariaceae.
GCGGGGAUAGCUCAGUUGGGAGAGCGCCAGACUGAAGUUCACUUCGGUUCAUGAUAUCUGGAGGUCGUGUGUUCGAUCCACACUCACCGCA